AACGAACGCUGGCGGCGCGCCUAACACAUGCAAGUCGAACGAGAAGGCGUAGCAAUACGCUUGUAGAGUGGCGAACGGGUGAGUAAUACGUGGGUGACCUACCCUCGAGUGGGGAAGUAACCCGCCGAAAGGACGGGCGUAAUGCCGCGUACGCUUCCGUCCUCACAGGGACGGAAGGAAAGACUGUACCGUGGGUACGGGCGCUCAAGGAUGGGCGUCACGUCCUAUCAGCUUGUUGGUAGGGGUAACGGCC
This 253-nucleotide ribosomal RNA is filed under the name uncultured bacterium. RNAcentral describes it as "partial 16S ribosomal RNA". It matches the Rfam family "Bacterial small subunit ribosomal RNA", at positions 29 to 265 of the family's 1533-position model. The record is from RNAcentral.